AGGUGCUGGCGAACCCUAGACAGGAAC
This 27-nucleotide non-coding RNA is filed under the name Homo sapiens (human). The record is from RNAcentral. Lineage: Eukaryota; Metazoa; Chordata; Mammalia; Primates; Hominidae.